RNAcentral lists this unclassified non-coding RNA (203 nucleotides) under Hevea brasiliensis (rubber tree). The record is from RNAcentral. Lineage: Eukaryota; Viridiplantae; Streptophyta; Magnoliopsida; Malpighiales; Euphorbiaceae.
UAAGGAUCGACUGAUGUUUGUCUUGGAGUGUUCAUGGCAUCUGUCUCGUUGCCUCCUUCCCUCUCAGAAUUUCGAUGAAGAAGGUCGGCAUGGACCUCGUUGACAUGUAGUUCAAAAUCAGACUUCUUGAGGAAGGACUUGAGGCAGUGAGGGGCAGCACAGAGAAAGAUACCCUCCAACAAUUUAAUUGUCUGAAUCUUCUG